CAGAGACACUGGCCAGCGCUGUUGAGGACGGAUCUGCAGCCCCAGAGAGGCCUGGAGGCCUCGUGGCUUGCCCACGUUUGAAGGCCAAGUGCAGAGCCCUGUGACAGUCCUGGUCAACUCAGAAGAUUGAAGAAGGAGAGUGAGGGUCCCAAACACUCUGCCUCCCCAACCCAGGCCUGCGAGUGGCAGUGUGGGCAGGCGGUGGGGCCAGAGCAGCCCGCAGCCCGGAACCAGGGCAGGACAGCGCACCUGGCCUGCCUUUGAAUUGGGGUCACCAGCGGGCUUCGGCCAGGUGGGUGCUGAUGAUGGCACAGCUUCUGGGGCUCCUCUGGGCACCUGGCUUCCCAGUAUCCACCAUCCCCACCCUGCACAGCCAGGCUGAAGCAGAGGCUGGAGAGAGGUUUGCAUAAGAGAAGCUGGCAUCCUGCCUGUGCCCAUUGUGGCAGCAGGAGGGGAGGAGGCACGGGCCACAGCCCUGGCAGGGUCCUCAUCCUGGGCGAGCCUGGCUCUGCACCGA
RNAcentral lists this long non-coding RNA (517 nucleotides) under Homo sapiens (human). RNAcentral's name for it is "HSALNT0039504". The record is from RNAcentral. Lineage: Eukaryota; Metazoa; Chordata; Mammalia; Primates; Hominidae.